Molecule: unclassified non-coding RNA, 317 nt
Filed under: uncultured Pezizomycotina
Lineage: Eukaryota; Fungi; Ascomycota
Description: sequence contains ITS1
Rfam family: 5.8S ribosomal RNA (bases 1-105)
Source: RNAcentral
GAAAUGCGAUAAGUAGUGUGAAUUGCAGAAUUCCGUGAAUCAUCGAAUCUUUGAACGCACAUUGCGCCUUCUGGUAUUCCGGGAGGCAUGCCUGUUCGAGCGUCGUUAAAUAUACCACUCAAGCAGUUUUUGCUUGGACUUGGAGGAAGAGCUCGCCCACGGCGAGGUUCUCCUCUGAAAUCGAACGGCGGCCUGGUUCUGUUACCUCGCGUAGUAAGUAAUGCCUCGCGACGGUCAGCAGCGAUCGGCUCGCCGGUGAAUCCCCACAAUCUUUCAAGGUCGACCUCGAAUCAGGUAGGGGUACCCGCUGAACUUAA